AAAAAUCAAUCUACAAUCUCUAUUUGUUUCUUUGUGUUAUUGUGUGAUCUUUGAAAAUGGCGAAUUACCAGAACCAAUAUGGUGCAACGGCCCAAUCUACAAAUGAUUACGGGAACCCACUCACCAACUACACCGGAUCAGAGCCCCAAUCUACAAAUGAGUACGGGGCUACAGAUGAGUAUGGGAACCCAGUCACCACCUACACCAGAUCAGAGCCCCACUAUACAGAUGAGUAUGGGAACCCAGUACGCGAAAGGGGGAUGAUGGACAAGAUCAAGGAGAAGCUCCCAGGUACUCAUGACCCCUACUCAUCUCAUUCUCAGACAACCUACCCCACUGCACGUUACGGUGAAACCGGCUACACUGGAUUGGAGCAGCACCAUGGGAUGAUGAACAAGAUGCCAGGUACUGACCCCUACUCAUCUCAUUCUCAUACAACCGGCACCACUGCACCUUACGAUGGAACCGGCUACACCGGAACAGAGUACCGCCAGCACAAGGGCACGAUGGACAGGAUCAAGGAUAAGCUGACUGGGACUGGUGGACAUAGGGUGGAUGAUCCCUACUCAUCUCAUUCUCAUAAAACCGCCACCACCACACCUUACGGUGGCACCACCACCACAGCUUACGGUGACAGCACCACCACACCUUCACCUUACGGUGGCACCACCACCACACAUUCACCUUACGGUGGCACCACCACCACAGCUUACGGUGACACCACCACCACACCUUCAGCUUACGGUGGCACCACCACCACACCUUCAGCUUACGGUGGCACCGCCACCACCACCUACCCCCGUGAAAAGAAGGGCAUCAUGGACAAGAUCAAAGAGAAACUUCCUGGUGGACAUCAUUAUUAAUAAUAGGGUUAUGUAAGAGAUAGAUACGUUAGGUAUCGUUUUGUGUUCAAUGUUUUAGUAUGACGUGUAUAAUAAGCGGUG
This 944-nucleotide long non-coding RNA is filed under the name Prunus persica (peach). Its description in RNAcentral is "long non-coding RNA (PPER_LNC007441)". Lineage: Eukaryota; Viridiplantae; Streptophyta; Magnoliopsida; Rosales; Rosaceae. The record is from RNAcentral.